This 407-nucleotide ribosomal RNA is filed under the name uncultured bacterium. RNAcentral describes it as "partial 16S ribosomal RNA". It matches the Rfam family "Bacterial small subunit ribosomal RNA", at positions 30 to 526 of the family's 1533-position model. The record is from RNAcentral.
AUUGAACGCUGGCGGCAGGCCUAACACAUGCAAGUCGAGCGGAGCGGCGGACGGGCGAGUAAUGCCUAGGAAUCUGCCUGGUAGUGGGGGAUAACGUCCGGCAACGGGCUUUAAUACCGCACACUAUCAGUUGAACCUAGGUCGGAUUAGCUAGUUGGUGGGGUAAAGGCCUACCAAGGUGACGAUCCGUAACUGGUCUGAGAGGAUGAUCAGUCACACUGGAACUGAGACACGGUCCAGACUCCUACGGGAGGCAUCAGUGGGGAAUAUUGGACAAUGGGCGAAAGCCUGAUCCGGCCAUGCCGCGUGUGUGAAGAAGGUCUUCGGAUUGUAAAGCACUUUAAGUUGGGAGGCGUUACCAGCAGAAUAAGCACCGGCUAACUUCGUGCCAGCAGCCGCGGUAAUUC